Triticum aestivum (bread wheat) is the source of this 2132-nucleotide long non-coding RNA. RefSeq lists it as uncharacterized. The transcript has 2 exons. NCBI's taxonomy places the organism in Eukaryota, Viridiplantae, Streptophyta, Magnoliopsida, Poales, Poaceae. The record is from RefSeq and is a predicted model, not a curated record.
CACCCCACUCAUCACCGCGCGAAGAGGACGACGCGUCGCCGGAGCUCAUCUUCACCAAGCCCGCACUAUGGACGUUGAUGCCACCGAGGUCAGUGUCACGGAGGUCGACGCCACGAUGGCCACCCCCACUCAUCACCGCUCGAUGAGGACGAUGAGUCGCCGGAGCUCAUCUUCACCAAGCCCGCGCUAUGGACGCUGACACCAUCGAGGUCGAUGUCCCGGAGGUCAACGCCACGAUGGCUGCCCUCCACUCAUCGCCGCUAGACCAUGAUGCCGUUUAGCCAACCAUGGUGCUCCCCACCGGAUUCUUCACCAAGCUAGCUCUAUGGAGGCCAACGGCACACAAGUCACCAUCACCACUCACGCCCACUUCGCCACGAGGCGCCGCGGAAGGACAACGGCACAGAGCAUGCCACGAUGCCGCCCACCGUUCGAUGUCGCCAAGCCGGCGCCAUGGAGGCCGAUGCCACGGAGACCACCCCCACUCCUCGCGCCCACUUCGUCACACGGUGCCGCGGAACACAAUGACACAGGGCACGCCACGGCGCCGCCCACCGUCAAUAUCGUCAAGAUGGUGCCUUGGAGGUCGAUGACACGUAGGUCAGCCUCACCGCUCUAUGGAGCCCGUCGUCCGCUUCGUCGCGCUGGAGGGACGCCGCUGAAGACGGUGAUCUGGAGUUCGCCGUCGGGCCAUUCGUUCACUUCAUCAAGAUGGUGCCGUAGAAGUCGACGACGCAGAACUCGCCAUCACACUGCUCACCUCCAUUUCAUCACGCCGAGGACCACGACAUGGUGCUCGCCACGAUGCCUCCCGGCGUUCAAAUCACCCGUCACACCCUUCGCCCACCUCGACGAGCCGGUACCAUGAAGGACGAAGCCGCGGACCAUGUCGACAUCACCGACUCCUUCACGUGGCAUGACGGUGCUGCUCGCGUCUCCUUCAAGGGAAACGAGAUCCCAUUUGGCAUCGGGUUAGUGCCUAUCCUUCAUCUCGUCCGGACUCGAUGGUGCCUUGGCGAUGGUGUCACGUUAGUCCAGCCAAACAUCAUGAAGUGGUCUACACAAGAACAAGAAGGCAUGCUCCUGAUACGUACUCGUGUGCGUCUAAGGCGUGAAGAUGGCCGUUUGGCUCACCACCGCAUGAAGCAAUGGACGUGGUACUCGGGAUGUCGCCACACAUGCCGUCCAUUUCCAGCCGGAGGAUUUCGUCUACAUCAAAUGCUAUAGAAGAAUGAAGCUGAACAUUAACGCGUCUUACAUCAUUCAAGAAGAAGAGGUGGAGCUCGUCACAGCGUCGUACAUUCGUGGCGCCGCACGCUCAAGGAAGAGUCCCUGCAAGUGACGCCACAUCGUGAAGAUGACACCUUACAACGGUGCCUGUAUCCUGCUUGUGAAGAUGGUGCCUUGCCACAGUGCCGCUGCUACACGCGUCACGCUCAUUCAUAGGCCGGAGCCGAGCAGGUUGGCACCGCCCGAGGACAAGGCGCGGCUGCAGGGCGACGCGACUUCAACAACAACACCGCUCCUCUACGGUCUCGUGAGACGAUGCCUUGACUACGCCGACUGCCGUGGACUCAGCGUCUGGCCGGGACGAGGUGUCGACCACUCAGGCCACGCUGGCGCGAGCAACACGACGGUCAUCACCGAUGAUGGUCUCCACCGACAAUUACUCCCGCAAGGCGUAGCCUCUUGCACACCCUGAGAAGCUACUGGUCGUCGAGAAGUCCGAGCGCGAUCCAUGCUACCCCAACAACAACUCCUCCAACGCCGUCAAGACCGACGAGGCACGACGGCGAGGGCAAGCGCGGCCACCGCAAAGGCCACGCUACUUGCGGCGCGUGUACCGACGAGGACAUGGGCUCUGCCGCCGCCCACACACACAUCACCAUCAUCAUGCAUGGAGAACGCGAAGCGAAGACGACGAAGACGACCACACAGCUCAAUCGGAGGUAUCCCGCGGAGCAACCCGCGGGAGUAAUUAACCGGGAGCUUUUCGAGGCCCCGGGAACCAGGAGAUCACACAAUCGCCACAGCCAUCUUGGCCGUGCUAGUAGGCCACGGAGCGCACCCUUUUUUUUGGGAUAUUGUAAUUUUAUUUAUCCAGUGAGAUUAAUGAAAUACAUGUUCCCGUA